RNAcentral lists this ribosomal RNA (986 nucleotides) under uncultured marine bacterium. Its description in RNAcentral is "bacterial SSU rRNA". It matches the Rfam family "Bacterial small subunit ribosomal RNA", at positions 76 to 1060 of the family's 1533-position model. The record is from RNAcentral.
AUCUUCGGAUAUGAGUAGAGCGGCGGACGGGUGAGUAACGCGUAGGAAUUUACCUAGUAGAAGGGGAUAGCCCGGGGAAACCCGGAUUAAUACCGUAUACCUCCUUCGGGAGAAAGAAGGCCUCUCUUUGAAGCUUUCGCUACUAGAUGAGCCUGCGUAAGAUUAGCUUGUUGGUGAGGUAAAGGCUCACCAAGGCGACGAUCUUUAGCUGGUCUGAGAGGACGAUCAGCCACAUUGGGACUGAGACACGGCCCAGACUCCUACGGGAGGCAGCAGUGGGGAAUAUUGGACAAUGGGCGCAAGCCUGAUCCAGCCAUACCGCGUGUGUGAAGAAGGCCUUCGGGUUGUAAAGCACUUUAAGCAGGGAGAAAAAGUUAUAAGUUAAUACCUUAUAACCCUGAUGUUACCUGCAGAAUAAGCACCGGCUAAUUCCGUGCCAGCAGCCGCGGUAAUACGGAAGGUGCAAGCGUUAAUCGGAAUUACUGGGCGUAAAGCGCGCGUAGGUGGUUUGUUAAGUUGGAUGUGAAAGCCCUGGGCUCAACCUAGGAACUGCAUCCAAAACUAACUCACUAGAGUACGAUAGAGGGAGGUAGAAUUCAUAGUGUAGCGGUGGAAUGCGUAGAUAUUAUGAAGAAUACCAGUGGCGAAGGCGGCCUCCUGGAUCUGUACUGACACUGAGGUGCGAAAGCGUGGGUAGCGAACAGGAUUAGAUACCCUGGUAGUCCACGCCGUAAACGAUGACAACUAGCUGUUGGGAGACUAUGUCUUUCAGUGGCGCAGCUAACGCUUUAAGUUGUCCGCCUGGGGAGUACGGCCGCAAGGCUAAAACUCAAAUGAAUUGACGGGGACCCGCACAAGCGGUGGAGCAUGUGGUUUAAUUCGAUGCAACGCGAAAACCUUACCUACUCUUGACAUACUUGGAGGCUCUUGUAAUGAGAGUGUGCCUUUUGGACCAAGAUACAGGUGCUGCAUGGCUGUCGUCAGCU